UAGGGAAUCUUCGGCAAUGGACGAAAGUCUGACCGAGCAACGCCGCGUGAGUGAAGAAGGUUUUCGGAUCGUAAAACUCUGUUGUUAGAGAAGAACAAGGACGUUAGUAACUGAACGUCCCCUGACGGUAUCUAACCAGAAAGCCAAGGCUAACUACGUGCCAGCAGCCGCGGUAAUACGUAGGUGGCAAGCGUUGUCCGGAUUUAUUGGGCGUAAAGCGAGCGCAGGCGGUUUCUUAAGUCUGAUGUGAAAGCCCCCGGCUCAACCGGGGAGGGUCAUUGGAAACUGGGAGACUUGAGUGCAGAAGAGGAGAGUGGAAUUCCAUGUGUAGCGGUGAAAUGCGUAGAUAUAUGGAGGAACACCAGUGGCGAAGGCGGCUCUCUGGUCUGUAACUGACGCUGAGGCUCGAAAGCGUGGGGAGCAAACAGG
Molecule: ribosomal RNA, 429 nt
Filed under: Gemmatimonadota bacterium
Lineage: Bacteria; Pseudomonadati; Gemmatimonadota
Description: Gemmatimonadetes bacterium partial 16S ribosomal RNA
Rfam family: Bacterial small subunit ribosomal RNA
Source: RNAcentral